CCUACGGGAGGCAGCAGUAGGGAAUCUUCCACAAUGGACGAAAGUCUGAUGGAGCAACGCCGCGUGAGUGAAGAAGGGUUUCGGCUCGUAAAGCUCUGUUGUUAGAGAAGAACAAGUGCUAGAGUAACUGUUAGCGCCUUGACGGUAUCUAACCAGAAAGCCACGGCUAACUACGUGCCAGCAGCCGCGGUAAUACGUAGGGGGCAAGCGUUGUCCGGAUUUAUUGGGCGUAAAGCGAGCGCAGGCGGUUCCUUAAGUCUGAUGUGAAAGCCCCCGGCUCAACCGGGGAGGGUCAUUGGAAGCUGGGGAACUUGAGUGCAGAAGAGGAGAGUGGAAUUCCAUGUGUAGCGGUGAAAUGCGUAGAUAUAUGGAGGAACACCAGUGGCGAAGGCGACUCUCUGGUCUGUAACUGACGCUGAGGCUCGAAAGCGUGGGUAGCAAACAGGAUUAGAUACCCUAGUAGUC
RNAcentral lists this ribosomal RNA (465 nucleotides) under uncultured bacterium. RNAcentral's name for it is "partial 16S ribosomal RNA". It matches the Rfam family "Bacterial small subunit ribosomal RNA", at positions 338 to 795 of the family's 1533-position model. The record is from RNAcentral.